RNAcentral lists this long non-coding RNA (282 nucleotides) under Trifolium pratense (red clover). RNAcentral describes it as "long non-coding RNA (TPRA_LNC010718)". The record is from RNAcentral. Lineage: Eukaryota; Viridiplantae; Streptophyta; Magnoliopsida; Fabales; Fabaceae.
CAAGAAAGUCAAAAGUAAAAAUAAUAAUGCCUGCCACGAAUCUAGCUUUUUGAAAAGCAAAGAUUCCCAAAUAAUCUUGUCGGCCAAAUGACAAUAAUGAUGCUUGAACCAAUAAUUUUUUAAUCCUGUAGAUCUAUAAUGCCAUAGCAAUCGUCUCCAUUAUCCCUGGUUAGGCUUUGAGACGAAUCUCCUGAGUCUUCAUCGUUGUUGAUGUCUGAAUGGAUAUUACAGGAUAUAAUGCCUCCCCCAAAAUUAGAGUCUAGACAACCUAGACAAUUUAUA